GCCUCAACCAAAAACGGGAAACAAGAGAGAAAGGAAACGUUCGCGCCAAAAUCAUUAUCGACGAAUCGAUCAAAAUUUAAAUAAAUUUCUCGAAGACUUACCCUCAUAUGCGGCUGGACGAGAAGUUCAUGGAGUUCCCGAAGAUCCGCCCUAUCGAUGUUUCGUAUCGCUGAAUGCUCUAUUUCUCGAAGUAGUUCCUCGACUUCUCGCGCACGCUGAACUGCAUCUGUUUGUGGCGCUCGGCAUGGCGUUGGAACUCUGGUCGAGAUUCUAUCGUAAAGCUAAAGAACAAUAACCAUAUUAAUCAUUCUAUUUAACUUUCCAAA
This 326-nucleotide unclassified non-coding RNA is filed under the name Bombus terrestris (buff-tailed bumblebee). RNAcentral describes it as "misc RNA ENSBTSG00005019704.1". The record is from RNAcentral. Lineage: Eukaryota; Metazoa; Arthropoda; Insecta; Hymenoptera; Apidae.